UUAUGAGGAAGCCUCUGGCCUCUGCUUCAUCUGGAUCUUGGAGCCUUACCACCACCUCACUCUCUGCAGGUACUUGGGGUUAGAUGCUGACUGGAAUCUGCUUGUCCUCAACCAUAUCCAGUGUCCUUCCAUCUAUAGAUUUUUCUACUGUCACCUCAUGGGAAUACACAAGCCACCAAGUUUCCGCUGGGACAGGGGGAAGGAUGUCACCUAGAAGCCAGAGAUGGAGAAGUACCAGCUAAUUCCCUAACCACGUGAAUAAUCCCCAGCAUCUGUCUUCCAGCACUGAUGACAAAUUGGUUGCAAUACUCCCAAAGAUACAAAGAAGUACAGAUGCUCAAGUACCUUAUACAAAAGGUGGUAGCAAUUGCAUUGAGCCUAUUUAGCCUACACAGGUCCUUUGGUAUACUUUAAAAUGAAUCUCCUCUUGUUUACUUACAAUACCCAAUGCAAUGUAAGUCCUUGGUAAGUAGAGCUCAUAUUGUGUUACUAAGGGAAUGAGGACAAGGGAUAAUGUUGGUUUGGUACAUAGGCAUUUUUCCCUAAAUGGCUUUAUCCAUGGAUGGCUGAACCUGUAGAUGUGAAGCCCAUGGUGAAGGGUGCUGUAUAUGAACUGGUACCUAAGUCUCUCUUGGCCAGUCCACUCUGUGGUCAAGGGCUCAUCCACUUUCCAGCUAUCACAGUGCCCCUGACUCUAACUUAUCUUUAUGAGUUAAUAAUAUAUGCAACAAGCCUUACGUGGCAGUUAUGAUAAAUUUUAUAAAAGAAUAGAAUCAGAUCUCUCUUUUUAUUCACUGAAGAAUCCUUAGGAGAUGUUUUAAAGCCCGAUAGUUCAUAUAUGCACAACAACCUCAUGAAUUCCUUUAAAAAUAUCCAGUAUAAAACAAAAUGAGAAUCCAGCACUCCAUGUCACAACCAGGAAAAACAACAGCAGCAGCCUGAGGAGACUUAGGAUUGGGCUAAAAACCCUAUUUUUUGUACACUUUAUUUUGCAGCCUGCAGAAGAACCAAGCUCACGACCUACAAGGAACACUUUAUACCAGUAAAAGGGCACCCUGACAGUGGCAUGAUAUAUUUUCAUUCCUGGUUCCAGAACUAGCUGGAUCUUACAUGGGAACGUUCCUCCCAUUUCUUUAUAUUAGUUUUCCCUAAAAUAACAAGUUCAAAGCACCACAAAGUCAC
This is a non-coding RNA of Mus caroli (Ryukyu mouse), 1182 nucleotides long. NCBI's taxonomy places the organism in Eukaryota, Metazoa, Chordata, Mammalia, Rodentia, Muridae. The record is from RefSeq and is a predicted model, not a curated record.